Long non-coding RNA from Phasianus colchicus (ring-necked pheasant), 6740 nucleotides. RefSeq lists it as uncharacterized. NCBI's taxonomy places the organism in Eukaryota, Metazoa, Chordata, Aves, Galliformes, Phasianidae. The record is from RefSeq and is a predicted model, not a curated record.
ACACCUCUGCAGAUGUUGCACUGAAAUGAAAAGCUUCUCUCCAUACUCAGUGGAGAAAGAACUUUAUUGAACAGUGGAAUGAGACACUGAGUGUUAGGUAACAUUGUACAACAUGAUAGAUAUAUCUUACAUUUGUUCUUCUGGUCUGUGGUGCUCCCUAAAAACCUUUGCAUUUCAUGAGGCCCGAUGCAAUUUUUUUGUGUUACAGAACAACCCUGGUGAAAUCAUGCUUUUGCCAUGAGAUCUGAGCUGUUCUGAGGAAUGGGAAAGAAGAGACAGAGGAGGAGAGGAAUCACUGAGCUCUACUUUCCACAGAAUAAGGCCUCUGGAAAUAAGAUGGUGUCAAAAUCUCUGCAUUUAUCGUUAACUGCUUAAAAGGUCCUUUACAGUUCAGGCAAGAAUGAUGCUUGCCCUGGCAAGUUUAUGUACUAAUUGAAACCUCUGCGUUUGUGUGUCAGCACAACACAGCAAAAUGGAGAGCUGCAGUGGCAAUGGAAAUACUCUAAUGUUGCUCAAGUCAAAAUAAAAACUUCAUCUUGUUUGGCAUCAGCCAUGAGAAAAGGUGGAUAUUGCUGCAGGACAGGGAGACAUUGGAAAAGAGAGGCUGGCACAGCUAAGGGGGAGCGGCCCAGUGGGAGAAGCCUAGAUAAUUAGAGAGGAGAGAAACUAUGCAGGAAGCUUAGAAAGCCACGAGCUAUGGGGUAAAUUAAAGGAGACAGAGCAGACUGAGUAGAUUUGAUUGUCUGAAUUACAUGUGUGCAUCUGAGUAGCAGGUGAAAGGAAUGAAGAUGAGGUAGCAGUCUGAAAGCCUUUAAAGGGAUCACCUGGAGGCUAAGGAGCAGGUGGAGGGUUGAGCUGUGGAGGAGAGGAAGCAAAAUAAAUCUUGGGAAAGUGGGGGAGGGGGGUGUACAUUAUCUGGAGAGUAAAUCAGUGCCCAACAAUACUCAGGAAAACAUUUGGAGAAGAUCGAACAGUGAUGGUACAGAUUCAGAGUCCAAACGGUGGGUGUGAGCACAGUGAGGUGUUUCAGCCCCAAGAGAUGUUGUUUCAGCAGUGUCAAUAGCGAUGUGAGAGACAAGUCACAUUCUGGACAGCCAUGCAGAUUUUUGGAAGUGUGGCUUGAAAAUCCCCAGUGAAUGGUUCAGACUACUUUGAAAAUUAGCAUUUUGAAGAGGAGAGCAAAAUACUUCAUGUUUCAGAAGAACCUAGACAGAUUUCUCCAAAUGCAUCUCUACUUGUUUGUCAUUCACACUGACACGAGAACCUCCUCUUCUUGGUAAAGUAACAGACCUCCUGAGAGCCCUAUUGCUGGAGCAACAUAGAGAACGCAUUAACAUAACAUCUCAGGCAUGAGCCUGAGCGAACACUGCCACGACUGCCUUACUAAUCACCUGUUGUCAGUCUGACACAGAGCUCCACCUACUCGGAUAGGCAUCUAAUAAGGCACCGAGAUCUAUCUGUAGCCAGAGGGAUAAAACUGAGUUCACCUCUAACCUGGAAGACAGUGAGAUUCAGAUGCCUAUAAAAGAGCUCGCAGAAGCUGUUUUGGAUGUCCUCAAGAUGUAAGAAGCUCCAGACAGAGCAGGCUGAUGUGAUGCAGGAUGAAAGAAAAUUGACCUUCUGGAGAUCUGACUGGGCACCAAGCAGGACAACAUGAGUCAAGUGAAUUCUAACCUUUAUUGUGUUCAUGUUCUUCUAAUGAAAAAAUAUACUGUAACUCAGUAUUAAUAAUGAGAUACAGUAUUAGCUAAACAAGAUCAUAUGAUCUUGAUGAAGCAACGUACCUCAAAAUCAGCUCCAGUGACAGUCAAACUGGGACUUACAAUACACUAGUCUACAAUUUCCAACAGUGGUGGCACAAGCCUUGGGAUGCUUCCUGUAUCUGUGAGGAAAUCUUAAAUCCAUACAAGGUACAGUGGCACUGUUAUACUUGGCUUUCAUCCUAGUAACUUGAAGCACUUCCUUACAAAAUGUUUCACAACUUCUGAAGAGUACAAAACACUGAACUGGACUAUUGGGCAUACUGUAACUACUACUAGCUGGUAUAUUCCAGGAAAGACCUCCUAUGCUCAAUAGUGUGUAGAAGCAACAAAUGGGAGAGAGUAAACCAUCUGCACACAAAAGCCAGUUUAAACUUUCUAUAGUGGGAAGAAGAAAAAAAAAACAACACAAAAAAUAUGAGAUUGAAAACCAUUUCUGCUGUGUUUUUUUUUUCUUUUUUCUUUUUAAAAUGCAAUAGUAGCUAUGUAUAGAUAAAGCAGACUGCAAGCUUCUGGCCAUACUGUAGCACUGUAGUAUGGAAGGAUAACUGCCUUGCAUGGGAAAUCAAUGAUGCUGUAGCACUGCACUCUAUCCUUUACUUUGAAGGAAUGCUGUUGAAGCAUCUAAGAUUCAUAUUGCCUGCUCUCUUUCUUCGCUUCAGGUAUGUCUCUUAAUUUGCCACUGUUAGAUAAAGAAUAAAGGACUUGCAUAUAAUAAAGAUUUAAUAAAUAGGAAAGAUUUGGGAUAUAUGAAAGAUUGAGUGGAAAAAAAAUUCUGGAUCUGUCCAAUUAGUUUGAUUAUAUUUUAUUAGAAAGUUCAGCCAAUACAAAUGAUUCUUGUUCAUUACAGCCAGUUUAAAGUGUAGUAUAUCAUUGUAAUUCAUAUAGAUGUUUUCUGUCCAGUUAAAUAUAAGCUCCUUGGGUAAGUACUGACUGUUACUUUUUGUGUACUGAAUGUUAAGAAGCAUAAGCAACACCAGCAAUGCUUCAGUAUAAGUCAAUAUACAUACAUGUUCACAUUUCAGACAUUAAAAGGAAAAAAUAAAUUAAUGUACCGGUUGCAUUUUAAGCUCUACUUGCUUUUAGUAGUAAUUCAGAUGAAUGGUUAAUUUAAAUCUAUUUACAAAGUUAAAGCUAAAAGCAUUUCAUUUAUAUUCAACAAUAACCAACACAGUAUGGCGUUUUACCAAAACAUGGGACACCUCAAAAGCAGAAGACUUAUUCGGUUUCUUGUUGACAGAAUUGACAGCUCUUUGCUACUGUUGUUGCCAAAAUAAAUAUGCUAAUUUACUUUUUAAUUCUAUAGAAAGUGUGAAAAUACUCCACUGUGAAAAAUAAAAAUACUUUUUUAUUAUGUAUCUUAAAUGGAGAUGUAUUUGAACAUUGUAUUUUUAGUUAUACAUAGUGAAUAAAAAAAACUGCUGGUGGCACUAUUUUUAAGCAGCUGACUUCACUUAAUUAAAUGCAGAACAGUAUUCUGGGUAGGUUUAAAGUACAUAGCUAACAUAAAUUAAAAAAUAAAACUGGCAUGUAUGAAACAAAUAAUGGCUAAGACAUCUUAAUACUCUGAAUUUCUAUAUAUCUUACUAUUGUAGUCUUAACUUGAGCGUGUGUUAACUGGGCAGACAUGUUCAGCAAUGGUCUUCUCAGAGCCUCCACAGAGUUAGGCAGCACAUAAUUACCACUGCUCUCACUCGUAUAAUCCAUGGCACAGGCAGGCUACUCGUUGUUUUCAUAUACGAGUUCUCCAGAAGAGCCAAACCAGAAGCCAUUUGAAAUUCUCUCCUACUGAAACCUGCAGUUGUAUAGCUACUGUAGUACCUCUGUGACUUUACAGAUGGAAAACAGAAUACCUGCACUGUGACUAAACUUAUAGUAGUGCAGAUGGGACUGGAAACAUUAGAAGUAUGCGUGCUGUAUUUCAAGAGAUUCCUUUUCUUUUAAUGAACAAGUAAGAAUAAUGAUUACCCAAAUAGCAAAAUGCAAAAAAACAAUGGAUGUGUUUGCAAGUUAGAAGACAGAGGGAAGUUUAAGAGGUUGGAGGUAAAAAAUACUCUUUAAAUGUGUGCAAUUCAAAUAUUUUCUGUGAAAAUUGUAUUUUUCUCUGUGGCUUUUAAGUCUAAGUGCUGUUAAGAACACGAAACAAAGUAGGUAAAUUUUAUGUUCAAUACAUCUCAAUUUUGUCUUCUCUACAUAAUUGGUGGUAAUAUUUUUUCUGUGCUUUCUGAGAUUUCUUUCUUUCCCUCUUCCUGUUUUCUGCCUUUCUUAGCAACACUACACUAAAAGUAGCAUAUGAGAAACAUCAUUUUCAUCUUGCACUGAAGAGCAUGAAAUGAAGCCACUACAAACCCUAGUUCUCUAGAAGGUUCUAGUUCACUACAGAGGUUUUUCAGGAGCCUGGCAGAACUACCACCCUCUCUAGGUAGAGAUAUCUCUGCUCAGUACUAGAACUUUCAUCUUUUCUGAAGAAAAGUCCAUCAGGAUAUGAUGAUUAAGAUGUGCUUAAAACCUCUAUCUUCCCCUCUACAGCAAAUGCUCAGUGCUGAGAGUGAACACAAAUUAGGUGCAGAGAUUAUGCAAAAUGUGUUCUGAUUCAACUUACUGAGCUUAACAUCUGAAGAUUGUGCUGGGAUUUAAACCAAAGUCAGAGCAUCUUUUCAAGUGUGCUGUGUCAGGAAAACAUUCAAACUGGAAUGAAGCAUGCAGUUCCAUAGAUAGGUACACCUGGCAUAGAGAGUAGAUAGGUAAGUUUUUAGCAUAAACAUUUAAAGAACUUGAAGUGGUUCAUUGGAACAAACUCACAUACGUGCUACUACAGUUUCUGUUUGAAAAGUUAGCUGUCAGUUUGGCUUAAUGUCAAAGGAAAUAGCUUUUCAACAGUUGUCAGGCAUCACAGAAUCUGAAUAUUGUUGAUGUUCUUUGUAUUUUCAGUCUGGCUCUAGAUGUUACUCUGUUCGUAUUUUAGUCACCUUGGAGAGAUGAAUGAAUUUCAGAUGUCCAUCUGGUAGCGGCCACAUCUGCUGCAUCAUAGUUACAGCUGCUACUGCCUUGUACACCAUGAAUGAAUCAACAACAGUCCUGGAGUAGUAUUUUUCCUUGGAUGACUGUAAUGGGUAAGGAAAAAACGGCUUCCUUUCCUGAAGAAGGGUAAUAUAGCACGUUGUUACCUUCCUGUUAUAGAAAGCAUUUCAGAAAGCUGAUGACAUCCAACUGUAUAUGCCUAAGUCAACAGAGACGCUUUAACUAAAAGAAUGUUUCCCAGUAGUCAUCAACCUUCAGCACUCCUACUUCCCAAGCUGCUAUCAGAUAUGAACAUUAUAGCAGUAAUUGAAUUUGCUUUUUAUGAUCAGUGCAAGGCCUUUACUGCCCUAGACAGAGACUGCUGCUGGCAUUAUCAUAUUUUUUCUUAUUUCAAGAUUAGAUUAAUGCAAUAAAACUUCACCUUUAAAAAUAAGCUGCCAGAGAAUACUACAGUUUAUAUGACUAUAGAAAGGCUACCUAGAUAAAAUGCAGGAGUUAAAGAUAAGGACUUCUGCUCGUGUUCAGACAGAAACUAAUGAGUUACGUAGUUACCUGAAUUACCUGAAGAACCUUAACAAGCCAUAGGACCUGUUUCGUGUCCAACAAACAAACCAAAACAACAGAAAACGUGCCCGCCCCCACCAAACCACAAGCCCUGUUUACCCAGCCUUGCCCCCCUCCGUAUUUCUUCCCCUCCUGGGAAAACUCCGAAGUUCAAUCCAAAGCAGGAGUAUUUCUGAUUCCUCUGUAGAUCAGGUUGCAGGCAGGCCAGUCUUCUUGGGAGCUAUACCUUCACAUAGCUCUUGAAGCAGAACUAAUUCAACCUUUAUCUCCCAUACAUUCUUAAUCCCCCCUUUCCUGGAAGCGUAGGAAGGUGGAGGAAGAUAGAACACAAGGUAUGAAGAAAGGCUUUUAUGUAGAUUUUCUGUUUUUGCAGGAUACUUGAUGAAGAAAGAUGUCGUACUAAUUUACUUAUUUAAAACUAAUGGUGUGUUAUCUACAUUUUGUCACAGCAUUCAACUACACCAAGGGCAGUUUUUUUCCGAUGAUUUAAAUUCAGUCUUGAGGCACUCAUGACAAAAUAAAAGAUUAGAGGUUUUUCCUAAGUCAUUUAUCCUUAAUUACACAGGCAGUCUCAGCAUGUAGCACUGCCUCCAUUUUUGUACUGUUCAGAUUAGGAAAACAAUUCAGAUUAAUGCAUGGCAAAACAGAUCUUGAAUUUGCAUUGAAAUGGAUGAAUGAUUCCAGUAACUGCUGGUGUGCAACACCUUAUUCACCAGUAAAUAAAUGGAAAAUGGCUUAGUAUAAGAGGUAUUGUUCUCAGUAGGCAAGACAACAGAUAGUUAUUGCAUAUCUCAUGUUGGUAUUUCUUACCUUAUAUUGUGUGCUUGCUUCAUCUGCUCAUAUCCAAGCAGUGGAAGCACUUUACGUACAGGAAGCAAUAAUGAAGCAGCAUGGGAACAGCUGUACUGAAUCUUCUGAAAAAAAAAGUCUCCUUAUGCUAUUUUAACUGUGAGAAUUGGUAGUCCAGAAUAAUCAUUCUGACUUUAUCUAAGUUCAUCUAAUUGUAAGAUGCAGCCUGCAGUCUGACACUGAUGGCCUCGAUCACACCAGAGCACUCAGUGAGCAGUUUACCCACUGGUUGGUUAAAAGCUAGCAGAUAAAUAAACGGCUACAAAAACGCACCCACCCUUCAGGCUGAUCCAUAAUAAGCAGAAGUGGAUGACAGUUCAGUUUGGCACGUAAGGUUUGGUUUUGCUCAUCAGGCUUUUAAAACUAGAGAGGAAUGGAGCAAAUACAAUCUUGUUACUAAAUAGAAGCAGCACUGUGCCAUCAUCCAUAGCCAUGCUGUAGCGUGCUCUGGGCAUGCGACAGAGGGACCAGCAACCCGCGUUUAAAGAAAGCAAAACAAAACAGUAGUCUGCAAAGUCGCUGCUCUCUUUGAUAAUAAGGACGAUA